GGGCCCGCACAAGCGGUGGAGCAUGUGGUUUAAUUCGACGCAACGCGAAGAACCUUACCCAGGCUUGUAUCUUCAGAAGGCUGAUGAAAAUUAGCUGUGCUUCGGCACUGAAUGACAGGUGGUGCAUGGCUGUCGUCAGCUCGUGUCGUGAGAUGUUGGUUAAGUCCCAUAACGAGCGCAACCCUUACCUUUAGUUGCCAGCGGGUAAUGCCGGGAACUCUAGAGGGACUCCCGUCGCAAGACGGAGGAAGAUGAGGACGACGUCAAGUCAUCAUGCCCCUUACGCCUGGGGCUACACACGUGCUACAAUGGAUAAUACAAACAGAUGCUAAGCCGCGAGGCCAUGCA
RNAcentral lists this ribosomal RNA (348 nucleotides) under uncultured bacterium. RNAcentral's name for it is "bacterial SSU rRNA". It matches the Rfam family "Bacterial small subunit ribosomal RNA", at positions 917 to 1269 of the family's 1533-position model. The record is from RNAcentral.